This 1372-nucleotide ribosomal RNA is filed under the name uncultured bacterium. RNAcentral's name for it is "bacterial SSU rRNA". It matches the Rfam family "Bacterial small subunit ribosomal RNA", at positions 28 to 1381 of the family's 1533-position model. The record is from RNAcentral.
GAUGAACGCUGGCGGCGUGCCUAAUACAUGCAAGUCGAGCGAACGGACGAGAAGCUUGCUUCUCUGAUGUUAGCGGCGGACGGGUGAGUAACACGUGGAUAACCUACCUAUAAGACUGGGAUAACUUCGGGAAACCGGAGCUAAUACCGGAUAAUAUUUUGAACCGCAUGGUUCAAAAGUGAAAGACGGUCUUGCUGUCACUUAUAGAUGGAUCCGCGCUGCAUUAGCUAGUUGGUAAGGUAACGGCUUACCAAGGCAACGAUGCAUAGCCGACCUGAGAGGGUGAUCGGCCACACUGGAACUGAGACACGGUCCAAACUCCUACGGGAGGCAGCAGUAGGGAAUCUUCCGCAAUGGGCGAAAGCCUGACGGAGCAACGCCGCGUGAGUGAUGAAGGUCUUCGGAUCGUAAAACUCUGUUAUUAGGGAAGAACAUAUGUGUAAGUAACUGUGCACAUCUUGACGGUACCUAAUCAGAAAGCCACGGCUAACUACGUGCCAGCAGCCGCGGUAAUACGUAGGUGGCAAGCGUUAUCCGGAAUUAUUGGGCGUAAAGCGCGCGUAGGCGGUUUUUUAAGUCUGAUGUGAAAGCCCACGGCUCAACCGUGGAGGGUCAUUGGAAACUGGAAAACUUGAGUGCAGAAGAGGAAAGUGGAAUUCCAUGUGUAGCGGUGAAAUGCGCAGAGAUAUGGAGGAACACCAGUGGCGAAGGCGACUUUCUGGUCUGUAACUGACGCUGAUGUGCGAAAGCGUGGGGAUCAAACAGGAUUAGAUACCCUGGUAGUCCACGCCGUAAACGAUGAGUGCUAAGUGUUAGGGGGUUUCCGCCCCUUAGUGCUGCAGCUAACGCAUUAAGCACUCCGCCUGGGGAGUACGACCGCAAGGUUGAAACUCAAAGGAAUUGACGGGGACCCGCACAAGCGGUGGUGCAUGUGGUUUAAUUCGAAGCAACGCGAAGAACCUUACCAAAUCUUGACAUCCUUUGACAACUCUAGAGAUAGAGCCUUCCCCUUCGGGGGACAAAGUGACAGGUGGUGCAUGGUUGUCGUCAGCUCGUGUCGUGAGAUGUUGGGUUAAGUCCCGCAACGAGCGCAACCCUUAAGCUUAGUUGCCAUCAUUAAGCUGGGCACUCUAAGUUGACUGCCGGUGACAAACCGGAGGAAGGUGGGGAUGACGUCAAAUCAUCAUGCCCCUUAUGAUUUGGGCUACACACGUGCUACAAUGGACAAUACAAAGGGCAGCGAAACCGCGAGGUCAAGCAAAUCCCAUAAAGUUGUUCUCAGUUCGGAUUGUAGUCUGCAACUCGACUACAUGAAGCUGGAAUCGCUAGUAAUCGUAGAUCAGCAUGCUACGGUGAAUACGUUCCCGGGUCU